UUGGAGAGGUCGUUCUCCAGUGGGGAAGAAGGAAUAACAAAAGGAGCAUUUUUGGAGCAUUUAUUAACAGUAUAGGCUAGGCUUUUUUUCUAUGUAUUUUAUAUGUGUCUAUUCAUUUAAUGCCCUUGAUAAUCCACUGAAAGAGGUGUCAUUAUUAUCAUCCCAUUUUACAGAAGAAGAAACUGAAACAAGAAGAUGAGCAUCUCAGCAUCUCAGAGGUGAAGAAACUGGCCUAGCCACCACGUGGUGGCACUUGCAGCCUGAGUCAGCAGAUCCCCAGGCAAAUGAAGACUCUGAGAUGAAGACAGCUGAGCGCAUGAUGGGGUAGGUCAGCCUCCCUCAUGGAAAUUCUGUGUGCCUGAGGCCCACCCUUCCAGUGCAGAUGGAGGGAUGGGAUGGAAAUGAAUCUAGGGGAACGCAUCCCAGCUGUGAUCCAGCCACCUCUGCGUUUGAAGGCUGGGGGUUAUUCCCUCCUCAUGGUUGCCACGCAUUCUUAUGUUUGCAUGUCAUGCUUGGAACUGCCGCAGCCACUUUGUGACAGCCUGAGAAUGAAUCCAGCGCUAAAAUCAGUCUAGCAAAAGGAGGAGAAACACCUGGGUCUCCAUGAUGUCACUGAGCAAGUGAAUUGACCAGCUGUGAGGUACUUCUGUGAUUCCUCCAUCUCACAGGACUGGUGUCCUUAUAAUGAAAGGAAGAGACACUGAGUUCUGUCUCCCAGCCUUGUGAGGACACGUUGAGAUGACUGCAAGCUGGGAAGAGAGCCUUCACCAGGAGCUGAAUUUGCUGGUAGUUUGAUCUUGAACCACAUUGAGAUGACUGCAAGCUGGGAAGAGAGCCUUCACCAGGAGCUGAAUUUGCUGGUACUUUGAUCUUGAACCUCCAGCCUCCAGAAUUGUGACAAAAUAAAUUUCUGUUGUUGAAG
This 922-nucleotide long non-coding RNA is filed under the name Homo sapiens (human). RNAcentral's name for it is "HSALNT0227540". Lineage: Eukaryota; Metazoa; Chordata; Mammalia; Primates; Hominidae. The record is from RNAcentral.